GGUUAAGCGACUAAGCGUACACGGUGGAUGCCCUGGCAGUCAGAGGCGAUGAAGGACGUGCUAAUCUGCGAAAAGCGCCGGCGAGGUGAUAUGAACCCUUGACCCGGCGAUGUCCGAAUGGGGAAACCCAGUGUGUUCCGACACACUAUCGUUAACUGAAUACAUAGGUUAACGAGGCGAACCGGGGGAACUGAAACAUCUAAGUACCCCGAGGAAAAGAAAUCAACCGAGAUUCCCCCAGUAGCGGCGAGCGAACGGGGAGCAGCCCGGAGUCUGAAUCAGCUUGUGUGUUAGUGGAACGGUCUGGAAAGUCCGACGGUACAGGGUGAUAGUCCCGUACACGAAAGCACACUUGCUGUGAACUCGAAGAGUAGGGCGGGACACGUGGUAUCCUGUCUGAAUAUGGGGGGACCAUCCUCCAAGGCUAAAUACUCCUGACUGACCGAUAGUGAACCAGUACCGUGAGGGAAAGGCGAAAAGAACCCCGGCGAGGGGAGUGAAAAAGAACCUGAAACCGUGUACGUACAAGCAGUGGGAGCACCUUCGGGUGUGACUGCGUACCUUUUGUAUAAUGGGUCAGCGACUUAUAUUCUGUAGCAAGGUUAACCGUAUAGGGGAGCCGAAGGGAAACCGAGUCUUAACUGGGCGUUAAGUUGCAGGGUAUAGACCCGAAACCCGGUGAUCUAGCCAUGGGCAGGUUGAAGGUUGGGUAACACUAACUGGAGGACCGAACCGACUAAUGUUGAAAAAUUAGCGGAUGACCUGUGGCUGGGGGUGAAAGGCCAAUCAAACCGGGAGAUAGCUGGUUCUCCCCGAAAGCUAUUUAGGUAGCGCCUCGUGAACUCAUCUUCGGGGGUAGAGCACUGUUUCGGCUAGGGGGCCAUCCCGGCUUACCAACCCGAUGCAAACUACGAAUACCGAAGAAUGUUAUCACGGGAGACACACGGCGGGUGCUAACGUCCGUCGUGAAGAGGGAAACAACCCAGACCGCCAGCUAAGGUCCCAAAGUCAUGGUUAAGUGGGAAACGAUGUGGGAAGGCACAGACAGCCAGGAUGUUGGCUUAGAAGCAGCCAUCAUUUAAAGAAAGCGUAAUAGCUCACUGGUCGAGUCGGCCUGCGCGGAAGAUGUAACGGGGCUAAACCAUGCACCGAAGCUGCGGCAGCGACACUAUGUGUUGUUGGGUAGGGGAGCGUUCUGUAAGCCGUUGAAGGUGUGCUGUGAGGCAUGCUGGAGGUAUCAGAAGUGCGAAUGCUGACAUAAGUAACGAUAAAGCGGGUGAAAAGCCCGCUCGCCGGAAGACCAAGGGUUCCUGUCCAACGUUAAUCGGGGCAGGGUGAGUCGACCCCUAAGGCGAGGCCGAAAGGCGUAGUCGAUGGGAAACAGGUUAAUAUUCCUGUACUUGGUGUUACUGCGAAGGGGGGACGGAGAAGGCUAUGUCAGCCGGGCGACGGUUGUCCCGGUUUAAGCAUGUAGGCGGAGGUUCCAGGUAAAUCCGGUACCUUGUUAACGCUGAGGUGUGAUGACGAGGCACUACGGUGCUGAAGUGAUAAAUGCCCUGCUUCCAGGAAAAGCCUCUAAGCAUCAGGUAACACGAAAUCGUACCCCAAACCGACACAGGUGGUCAGGUAGAGAAUACCAAGGCGCUUGAGAGAACUCGGGUGAAGGAACUAGGCAAAAUGGUGCCGUAACUUCGGGAGAAGGCACGCUGAUAUGUAGGUGAAGCCCCUGCGGGCGGAGCUGAAAUCAGUCGAAGAUACCAGCUGGCUGCAACUGUUUAUUAAAAACACAGCACUGUGCAAACACGAAAGUGGACGUAUACGGUGUGACGCCUGCCCGGUGCCGGAAGGUUAAUUGAUGGGGUUAGCGGCAACGCGAAGCUCUUGAUCGAAGCCCCGGUAAACGGCGGCCGUAACUAUAACGGUCCUAAGGUAGCGAAAUUCCUUGUCGGGUAAGUUCCGACCUGCACGAAUGGCGUAAUGAUGGCCAGGCUGUCUCCACCCGAGACUCAGUGAAAUUGAACUCGCUGUGAAGAUGCAGUGUACCCGCGGCAAGACGGAAAGACCCCGUGAACCUUUACUAUAGCUUGACACUGAACACUGGUCCUUGAUGUGUAGGAUAGGUGGGAGGCUUUGAAGCGUGGACGCCAGUCUGCGUGGAGCCAUCCUUGAAAUACCACCCUUUAAUGGCUGGUGUUCUAACGUAGACCCGUGAUCCGGGUUGCGGACAGUGUCUGGUGGGUAGUUUGACUGGGGCGGUCUCCUCCCAAAGAGUAACGGAGGAGCACGAAGGUUGGCUAAUCCUGGUCGGACAUCAGGAGGUUAGUGCAAUGGCAUAAGCCAGCUUGACUGCGAGCGUGACGGCGCGAGCAGGUGCGAAAGCAGGUCAUAGUGAUCCGGUGGUUCUGAAUGGAAGGGCCAUCGCUCAACGGAUAAAAGGUACUCCGGGGAUAACAGGCUGAUACCGCCCAAGAGUUCAUAUCGACGGCGGUGUUUGGCACCUCGAUGUCGGCUCAUCACAUCCUGGGGCUGAAGUAGGUCCCAAGGGUAUGGCUGUUCGCCAUUUAAAGUGGUACGCGAGCUGGGUUUAGAACGUCGUGAGACAGUUCGGUCCCUAUCUGCCGUGGGCGCUGGAGAAUUGAGGGGGGCUGCUCCUAGUACGAGAGGACCGGAGUGGACGCAUCACUGGUGUUCGGGUUGUCAUGCCAAUGGCACUGCCCGGUAGCUAAAUGCGGAAGAGAUAAGUGCUGAAAGCAUCUAAGCACGAAACUUGCCCCGAGAUGAGUUCUCCCUGAGACCUUGAGUCUCCUGAAGGAACGUUGAAGACGACGACGUUGAUAGGUCGGGUGUGUAAGCGCAGCGAUGCGUUGAGCUAACCGAUACUAAUGAACCGUGAGGCUUAACCUU
RNAcentral lists this ribosomal RNA (2904 nucleotides) under Enterobacter hormaechei. RNAcentral describes it as "23S ribosomal RNA". It matches the Rfam family "Bacterial large subunit ribosomal RNA". The record is from RNAcentral. Lineage: Bacteria; Pseudomonadati; Pseudomonadota; Gammaproteobacteria; Enterobacterales; Enterobacteriaceae.